RNAcentral lists this ribosomal RNA (471 nucleotides) under uncultured Pezizomycotina. Its description in RNAcentral is "eukaryotic LSU rRNA". The stretch from base 179 to 333 matches the Rfam family "5.8S ribosomal RNA". The record is from RNAcentral. Lineage: Eukaryota; Fungi; Ascomycota.
ACCUCCCAACCCCGUGUCUACCACACCUUGUCGUUGCUUCGGCGGAUCGCUUGACCAACAUGGUCGUGACGGCCGGGGGCUAGCUCUGGCCCCCCCUGGGGAGCGUCCGUCGAUGGCCCAACCACAAAACUCUUGUACCGAAACGUGUCGUCUGAAUUGUUUGAGAAAUCAAAAACAAAACUUUCAACAACGGAUCUCUUGGUUCUGGCAUCGAUGAAGAACGCAGCGAAAUGCGAUAAGUAAUGCGAAUUGCAGAAUUUCCGUGAGUCAUCGAAUCUUUGAACGCACAUUGCGCCCAUUGGUAUUCCGAUGGGCAUGCCUGUUCGAGCGUCAUUAUCCUCCCUCAAACCUCGUGCUUGGUGUUGGGCCGUGUUNNNGAGCGACCAACUGGUCUCAAAGACAAUGACGGCGUCCGUGGGACCCUCGGUGCAACGAGCUUUUAACGAGCACGCGUCGAGUUUCAAGGACCUU